AACUCUUGACCGCAGAUGAUCCGCCUGCCUCGGCCUCCCAAAGUGCUGGGAUUACAGGCAUGAGCCACGGUGUCCGGCCGCAUCCCUGCUUCUUAAGCCUCUUCCUCUGCAGUCCAUCCUGAUUACUAACGAAUGGCCGAGAAGCACGACUUUCAUCCAGCCACUCCCAGCCUCAGAGCCUUCACGAGCUCCUUCUCGCUGCGGGAUAAAGCACAGCUCCUCCGCCAGCCCGGCGCGCAGCGGGCCUCACCUCUCCUGCCCGGCCCUCUCAAUUGUCCCCUGCUCUUCCACCAGGAUCCUUGAAUCCUGCCAGACCUCGCUCCCCUGGGCCUGGGGCGUCCCCGAACUCAUCCUCGCAGCUUCCCUGUCCCAGGAGGGCCCGCUGGCCAAAUCCUCCCCACUCUGCCUGCGGCGAGGCUUGCUGGACUAGCAGACUCAGAAUGGCCUGUUCUGAACAGCCUUGGGGUUUCCGUUUGCACAUUCUGAAGCAAAGCAAUGUGAGAACCGUUUUCAUUGCGUGAGGCAAGGUUUCUCAACCUGAGCACUAUUGACACUUUGGCCUGAAUAAUCUUUUCUGUGGGGGCUCUUCCCGUGCCCUGUAGGAAGUUUAGCAGCUUUCCUGGCCUCUGACCACGAGAUGCCAGUAGCACCUUCCAGUGUGGCAACCGGAAGUCUCCCGACACUGCCAAAUAUUCCCUGGGGGGACAGCUGCUGUGUAAGGGAAGGCUUGUACCACCAGCUGCACUCUCUCAACAGGAGGUUCACUGGAACUAGAUGUAGCAGCCACCUACUGCCACUAACCACAGAGUGGCCACCAGGCAUCUCCGGACACUGGCAGUUGGCAACCGCUCUGGUUCAGAUCAUCUGAAAUGAAGCCCUACACAGCCCAAGGACACGCCCACGUCUGCAACAGAACGCACACUGAGAGCUUCCUGUUGCCUGGGAAACGUGUUAAAUGUGCUACAGAGACACAGACUUGUAUCCAACAUUUCAGAGGUAUGAAAGAAUGGGUGGGAUCCAAGGAAUCAAAGCAGUAGAUGGACGACCAGGAGCACCCCAAGUUAUCUUCAGGAAACAGAGCGACAAAACGCAAAGACUGAAAUCUCUUCGAAGCCAGACACAGCAUCUUGUACUGUGGUACGGUGGUACCUCUAGGUUCCUGGCACGCAGCCUGACACAUACGAAGGGCCCCUUAGAAUUUGGUUGCAUAGCUGAUGAAAGCAGCCAGCGUCUGUCAGCAUGUCUGGUGUGCCAGGGCCCGCAGGACAUGCAGUGUGUUCCUUAGCUUAUUUAAACUUUACCACCGCGUUACAAGGGAAGUAGUAUCCUUAUUCCCAUUUUACAGAUAAGGAGGCUGAGGUCCAGAGAGGCUAAGAAACCAGGUCAGACAGAAAGCUGUGGGGUGUGGAGAGCGGCCAAAGGGGCCUGGGGGAGGGGCUCUGUUGGGGCAUGGUGGAGAUGGAGGUAGUGAGAAGAGGGCCCAGGAGAGGGUGCAGAGGGUCAAUUCUGGGAAGGGAGAGGGGGCUUCCUGCGCUGGGCUGGUGAGGCCAUACAAGCAGUGGAAGCAGUCCCUGAUGGGGUACCCGGAGGACUCCCCACUCCUGUGCCCAGACACCUCAAAGUCUCUCCCAAGAGUCAAGCUGCAUCCCCCUCCAGCUUCCCCUCCUCCUAAAGUCCAGUUCCUGGGACAGGACAAUGUCGUGAGGCAGGCGUCUCAGGGGCCAGCUGCCUCCUAAGGUGGAGGUCAGGGAAGGAAGAGGCCUGCAAGGGCCCUGACCCCCAGAGGGUCACUGGCCUCAGCCCACCCUGACAAAGACGCAGACUGACUCAGCUUCCUCCCAGCAUCUCCGCAGGCACGUUCGCCAGGUCAUUCACCCCCAGCCCACUGAGAGGCCUUGGGUUUAAUUACCCAAAGCCCUGAACUUUAGACUUCCCAGAGCUGACAACAGGGCGCUGGGGAUGUUCUUAGAAACUUCAGGACACAGUGGGGAAUGGCAGGAAAGGUGAAAGGGCAGGAGGGAGCCGGGGGGGGCUGCGGUUGGGCUGAGACGGGUGCUUCCCCACUGGGCAGCAGAGACUGGGAGACCCCAGGAGAGACCGGCAGGGUGUCAGUGAGGGAAGGGGGCUUCUGCCCCACCCAAGGUCUCUACGGGGUUGUCUUCUGUACAGUGUGGCCCGGGAUCCAGCCAGCGGGAGGCCCUGCCUGGAGGCCGGCCCAUCCCCAGCUAAGGCUUGGUCAGAGAGGAUGAGCUGUGGCCGCCAGGGUCUCCUCUUGGCAGUUGGGGCCUGCCAGCUCUCAGAAACUGAUUUUAGAACCAAAAAGAAUAAGUCCUUCUGAAUUUCAUUUCUUUGGCCUAUUUUUUCCCACAAAAUUAUAUGAUAGCAUCAUCUGACACUUAUUGAGACAGAGGAGGGAUGGGACUCGGCUGCCAACUCCACUAAUGCAUUCGCUAAUGCAUUCCCCCCCCCAACAUUUUUCUUUCUUCCUUUUUUUUUCUUACCUGCUCAUUGAAGGACAGUGAAAGCAUUAAGAUAAGCAGCAUUCCACUGUAAAUCUUACACAAAAUGCCACAUCCACUGAUCACACGACCUUGAAAAAUGAAGAUAGGCAGCGUCGCACUUCCAAUCUUGUACUUCAGGGAAUGAACUCCAUUGCCUUUGUGUGCAGGAAGCCGGAAGCACGACCACUCUUUACCCUCGGCCUCAUUACAAGACCAAGACCUCUGCCUCGGCGCGGCAGCUCUCACCUGGAAUCCCAGCACUUUGGGAGGCCGAAGCGGACGGAUCACCUGAGGUGUCAGGAGUUUGAGACCAGCCUGGCCAACAAGGGACGCUCACCUACCUCAUGAAUUACGCGUGUCGCCCUCCUCGAGACGCCACAACGCAGUCCCCUGGGGAGCCAGCCGGAGACCUCUCCCUGCGGUGCUGUCUCCCCCGUGGUGGAACGGAAGCCCCUAAUAAAGCCUUGUCUGGGAAAUUUGCUUGGCCUCGUGUCAAUUUUUAUCGGAGCCUAAAGAACCUGUGUCCCCCUCCUCCCACACCCUGGCAACUGUGAAUCUGCUUUUGAUCUCUAUGGAUUUGGCUACUCUGGAUAUUUCAUGCUGGAGUGCAAUGGUGAGAUCUCGGCUCACUGCAAC
This 3137-nucleotide long non-coding RNA is filed under the name Homo sapiens (human). Its description in RNAcentral is "HSALNT0317564". Lineage: Eukaryota; Metazoa; Chordata; Mammalia; Primates; Hominidae. The record is from RNAcentral.